GACGGGAGGAUGCAAGUGUUAUCCGGAAUCACUGGGCGUAAAGCGUCUGUAGGUGGUUUAAAAAGUCUGCUGUUAAAAAUUGAAGCUUAACUUCAAAGGUGCCGUAGAAACUUUUAAACUUGAGGAUGGUAGGGGUAGAGGGAAUUUCCAGUGGAGCGGUGAAAUGCGUAGAUCUUGGAAAGACCACCAAUGGCGAAGGCACUCUACUGGGCCAUGACUGACACUGAGAGACGAAAGCUAGGGGAGCAAAUGGG
This 254-nucleotide ribosomal RNA is filed under the name uncultured bacterium. RNAcentral's name for it is "partial 16S ribosomal RNA". It matches the Rfam family "Bacterial small subunit ribosomal RNA", at positions 524 to 776 of the family's 1533-position model. The record is from RNAcentral.